CGCGUAGGCGGACUUUCAAGUCGGAUGUGAAAACUGGUGGCUCAACUGCCAGCCUGCAUUCGAUACUGUUGGUCUUGAGUACAGUAGAGGAGAGCGGAAUUCCAGGUGUAGCGGUGAAAUGCGUAGAUAUCUGGAAGAACACCAGUAGCGAAGGCGGCUCUCUGGACUGAUACUGACGCUGAAGCGCGAAGGCUUGGGUAGCAAACA
RNAcentral lists this ribosomal RNA (207 nucleotides) under uncultured bacterium. Its description in RNAcentral is "partial 16S ribosomal RNA". It matches the Rfam family "Bacterial small subunit ribosomal RNA", at positions 568 to 774 of the family's 1533-position model. The record is from RNAcentral.